UACGUAGGGUGCAAGCGUUAAUCGGAAUUACUGGGCGUAAAGCGAGCGCAGACGGUUAUUUAAGUCGGAUGUGAAAUCCCCGAGCUCAACUUGGGACGUGCAUUUGAAACUGGGUAACUAGAGUGUGUCAGAGGGAGGUAGAAUUCCACGUGUAGCAGUGAAAUGCGUAGAGAUGUGGAGGAAUACCGAUGGCGAAGGCAGCCUCCUGGGAUAACACUGACGUUCAUGCUCGAAAGCGUGGGUAGCAAAC
This 250-nucleotide ribosomal RNA is filed under the name uncultured bacterium. RNAcentral's name for it is "partial 16S ribosomal RNA". It matches the Rfam family "Bacterial small subunit ribosomal RNA", at positions 524 to 773 of the family's 1533-position model. The record is from RNAcentral.